This 836-nucleotide long non-coding RNA is filed under the name Homo sapiens (human). Its description in RNAcentral is "long non-coding RNA NONHSAT211958.1". Lineage: Eukaryota; Metazoa; Chordata; Mammalia; Primates; Hominidae. The record is from RNAcentral.
GUUUUAUUCCCCUCCUGAAUCCGAAGCAGGAUCUGAAGAAGCUGAAGAAAAACAGGACAGUGAGAAACCACUUUUAGAACUAUGAGUACUACUUUUUGUGAAAAACCCUCACAGAAAGUCAUCGAGGCAAAAAGAGGCAGGCAGUGGAGUCUCCCUGUCGACAGUAAAGUUGAAAUGGUGACGUCCACUGCUGGCUUUAUUGAACAGCUAAUAAAGAUUUAUUUAUUGUAAUACCUCACAGACGUUGUACCAUAUCCAUGCACAUUUAGUUGCCUGCCUGUGGCUGGUAAGGUAAUGUCAUGAUUCAUCCUCUCUUCAGUGAGACUGAGCCUGAUGUGUUAACAAAUAGGUGAAGAAAGUCUUGUGCUGUAUUCCUAAUCAAAAGACUUAAUAUAUUGAAGUAACACUUUUUUAGUAAGCAAGAUACCUUUUUAUUUCAAUUCACAGAAUGGAAUUUUUUUGUUUCAUGUCUCAGAUUUAUUUUGUAUUUCUUUUUUAACACUCUACAUUUCCCUUGUUUUUUAACUCAUGCACAUGUGCUCUUUGUACAGUUUUAAAAAGUGUAAUAAAAUCUGACAUGUCAAUGUGGCUAGUUUUAUUUUUCUUGUUUUGCAUUAUGUGUAUGGCCUGAAGUGUUGGACUUGCAAAAGGGGAAGAAAGGAAUUGCGAAUACAUGUAAAAUGUCACCAGACAUUUGUAUUAUUUUUAUCAUGAAAUCAUGUUUUUCUCUGAUUGUUCUGAAAUGUUCUAAAUACUCUUAUUUUGAAUGCACAAAAUGACUUAAACCAUUCAUAUCAUGUUUCCUUUGCGUUCAGCCAAUUUCAAUUAAAAUGAAC